GAGUUAUGUGGUGGAAAGCGGCAGGCUGGAGUUAUGCAGCUCACUUUCUAGCCAGAAGGAAGGAUACUGAAUGGAGGCACAUUGGUAAGUUAGGUGAUGGUAAGGUGUGAGGUUUCUCAUCCACGUUCUUGUAUUUUAAAAAUAGGAUAUAAUGGGAGAAGUUGUUUGCUAAAAAUGAGGGAAGGGAGUCUAAGGUAGAGGAUGCAAAGGGGCUGGAGAGAGUCUUUGUGCUCAUUAGGAGUGAAAAUUGACUUGAAAAACAGGGUACAUUGAGCCCCUCAGGGACUGAAGAUCAGAAUUUAUAGUGGCACUAUGUAUCUUCUGGAUUGCAAGCUUUCUCCUGAAGCUCUCAUCUUCUUGAAUAUAGGUGCAUCAAAUGUGGCUAAUCCAACUGAUCCUUUGUAAGGACUUCUCCUUUGUCUCCCAUCUCAGUACUAACCAGGCCUGAUCACGCUUAGCUUUCAAGGUCAGAGGAGAUCAGGGACAUUCAGAGUGGUGACAUGGUUUGGCUUUGUGUCCCCACCCAAAUCCCAUUUCGAAUUAUAACACCCACAUGUCAAGGGAGAGACCUAGUGAAAGGUGAUUGGAUCAUGGGGGUGAUUCCCCCAUGCUGUUCUCAUGAUAGUGAGUGAGUUCUCAUGAGAUCUCAUGGUUUUAUAAGGGCCUUUUCCCUGUUUACUCCCUCUGUCUUUCCUUCUGCCUUGUGAAGAAGAUGCCUGCUUCCCCUUCCAUCGUGAUGUUUUCAUCAAGAAAGCAGAAACUUACGUCUUCUAAGGAGCUUUUGUGUAUGCUUUUGCUUGGCUGCUAAAAAUAAAUAACUAAAAGACCCAUGAUGAAUCCGUGGGGCAAGAUUAAAAAGACUGAAAAUCAACAAAAACAGACAGAAUUGGGAGAUCAAUGAGCUCAGGAUCUGAGGCUCCCAACUGGGCAUCUUAUACUCGGUCUACUGACUCACGUUCAUCUUCUCCAAGAACACCCUCACAGACACACCUGGAGAAGCUCAAUCAUUCUAAUCAAAAUGAAAACCACCUGGAAUUCCCUUUCAGCAGAAGAGGAAUGGGUUCAGUUCCUACUGAAGCACUGAGAAUAAAUAACCCUUUACCAGCUACCUGAGUAUUCCUUAAUUUAGUCAAGUUUCAUCCAAAAUCAACCAUCACAACUUAUUUUCAAAUGUUGAGCUAGCUUUACAUUCUUUAGAUUAGGUCCUGCUUGUUCAUGAUAUAUUGUACUUUUGUAUCAAGCUACAUUUUAUUUAAAAUACUGUGAAAGUUGUUUGAGCCCGUGUUCAUUAGGGAUAUAGUUCUAAUUUUCCAUUCAAUAUCUUUGUUUGGUUAUGGUACCAAGUUAACAUUGACCUCGUAAAAUGAGUUGAGGAGCGUUUUCUUCUCUAUAUUUUGGAAAAGUUUUUGAAGGAUUUAUACUAUUUCUUUCUUACAGAUUUGUUUGAGCUUCCCAGUUAAGCCAUCUAGUUUAGAGUUUUGUGUGUGUGUGUUUGUUUAACACAUUUUGACUAUUAAUUAAAUGUUUUAAAUACAGAACUAUUUGGGUGAUCGAGUUAUUUUUAAGUUAAUUUGGCAGAUUGUGUCUCCAAGAUUUUGUCUAUUUUAUUUAACAUAAAACUUAUUGGCAUAAAAUCUUCCAUAAUUUGUUGUUUUUAUGUGUUAAUGUAAUAAAUCUGUUGUGAUGUUCCAUCUUUAAUUAUUGACAUUGGUAGUUUGUGUC
RNAcentral lists this long non-coding RNA (1722 nucleotides) under Papio anubis (olive baboon). Its description in RNAcentral is "lncRNA (ENSPANG00000039629.1)". The record is from RNAcentral. Lineage: Eukaryota; Metazoa; Chordata; Mammalia; Primates; Cercopithecidae.